This 94-nucleotide microRNA precursor is filed under the name Moorena producens 3L. RNAcentral describes it as "Moorea producens 3L microRNA mir-569". Lineage: Bacteria; Bacillati; Cyanobacteriota; Cyanophyceae; Coleofasciculales; Coleofasciculaceae. The record is from RNAcentral.
UACGUACGUACGUACGUACGUACGUACGUACGUACGUACGUACGUACGUACGUACGUACGUACGUACGUACGUACGUACGUACUACGUACGUAU